This 255-nucleotide ribosomal RNA is filed under the name Nocardia farcinica. Its description in RNAcentral is "partial 23S ribosomal RNA". It matches the Rfam family "Bacterial large subunit ribosomal RNA", at positions 2168 to 2422 of the family's 2925-position model. The record is from RNAcentral. Lineage: Bacteria; Bacillati; Actinomycetota; Actinomycetes; Mycobacteriales; Nocardiaceae.
ACGCCAGUGUGGUGGGAGUCGUCGUUGAAAUACCACUCUGAUCGUAUUGGACUUCUAACCUCGGGCCAUGAUCUGGUUCAGGGACAGUGCCUGGUGGGUAGUUUAACUGGGGCGGUUGCCUCCUAAAGUGUAACGGAGGCGCCCAAAGGUUCCCUCAGCCUGGUUGGCAAUCAGGUGUCGAGUGCAAGUGCACAAGGGAGCUUGACUGUGAGACUGACGGGUCGAGCAGGGACGAAAGUCGGGACUAGUGAUCCG